Molecule: long non-coding RNA, 604 nt
Organism: Salvelinus sp. IW2-2015
Lineage: Eukaryota; Metazoa; Chordata; Actinopteri; Salmoniformes; Salmonidae
Source: RefSeq, a predicted model, not a curated record
GCUACACUCAUACUGUCCCUGACCGUAAAGAAAAAAGCUAAUUGAACAAUAAACUUCGGCGUCUCAACACUGUAGUGAACUCCGUCGUUAUUCCCCAAGAUCACCUCAGCAACUCUGCGCGUAACCGGGCAAUAUGCUUGGCGCCACACCGAACGUGGACGCGGACAGAUAUGUACGGGGACGCGGACAGUUCUGUACGGGGAGACGGACAGUUCUGUACGGGGAGACGGACAGUUCUGUAUGGAGACGCGGACAGUUCCAGAACGCGGACAUGAGCAGUGCAACACAAUCAACUAAACCCAGUCUUUACAAUUAACUCAGGUUGGAGUUGGAGCUGUGACCGAAAGGUGGCUGGUUCGAAUCCCGGGCCGGGCGCUGGAAAAAACAGGUGGAAUUGAUCUGACCACUGGAGGGCUGCUGGGUUCACAUCCUAAAAACAUGAACCUUUUGUUGAUCAGAACUCUAGAGGUUCUUCUUCACUGAACCCAAAAUAUAUAUCACUUUUAGUGGUUCCAUAUAUUAAGGAAGUGAUAGAAGCCUUUUUGGUUCUAUAAGGAACCUUCUUUUCUAAGAGUGUAAAAUAAACACGUUUUUCUUUUGAUUA